UCCCAUGGAACCCGAUGUUAUUGUUUUACCAGGCAUGUGUAUAAAUAGCCAACAGGAAUGACUAGUUACAAACACCUUCAUUUGUUGCUUUAUUAAGAGAUGGAGUCUGUCUGUGUUCUGCUGCUGUUGCUGUGCUGCUGCAGUCUGUCUGGUGCGCAAGUUGUGAGCAGUAGUGAGGGAAACGUCGCAAGCGAAAGCUCUCAACACGUUGACGACAAAGUAGGAAACUACUGGAUGAAUGAGCCUCGGUGAAGUGGCACCACCGGCUCCCAAUCGGACAUCUACACUGUGCUGAGAGAACUUAGUGUCAAAAUGGAAAGAAGAGACCUAAGGUGGCGUUCUCAGCAUCACUCUUCCCAUCAUCUCAACACAAAGGGCCCUUUAAUAUUGACACCACCCUGAUAUUCACAAAUGUUAUCACAAACAUUGGCGAAGCUUACAACUCUGGAACAGGUGUCUUUGCUGCACCGGUGAGAGGGGUCUACUACUUCACGUUCACUUGCAAUUCUGGGACUACAGGAAAAGUGAAUGCGGCCCUGUUGAAGAAUGGCCAAAAUAUGGCUUCCAUGAUUGAAAAUAAUAAUACUGGCAGCAUGGGGUCAAAUAGUGUAAUACUGCAGUUAGAUGAAGGUGAUAAUGUUAACAUUAUCCUCUGGAGGGACAACAGCAUCUAUGACAAUGGAUACAGGAGCACAUUCACUGGUGUCCUGCUCUUUCCAAUGUGAGGAGAGCAUACCAUUUGCUUGUUGUAACUAUAAUGAUUGUAAAGUUUUGUAGGAAUGUAUGUACAAUAAUCAAACACUGAUGUUCGUCAUCCUUCAGGAAAUACUACAGGUGCAUUUCUCCAACGUUUAUGCAAACAGGAUUCUGAAGGUUUUACAAAUGUAUGAUUUAUAAAGAUUCUUAAUCACCAAUAGAGUAAAACUGGUUUAUCAGAUGUCACAGAUGCAUAGGAAUCCCCCCACUAAGAUAUCCAGCACUAACUACAGUGAGCCUGAGAACACUGUACUAGAGCAUAUGUGUAAGGACCGAUGCCAGAGAUGAGAAGCAGGUACGGGGAGUCAGCAUUUCAUCAGGAACAAACAGGUAACAGGACAGGAACAGUGUCAGCACACGGGUAAACAAGGACAUAUGACAAUCAAUGCAGAAGCAGGGAACCGAGUUGGGAACCAGACAGAUAU
This is a long non-coding RNA of Salvelinus namaycush (lake trout), 1181 nucleotides long. RefSeq lists it as uncharacterized. Lineage: Eukaryota; Metazoa; Chordata; Actinopteri; Salmoniformes; Salmonidae. The transcript is spliced from 3 exons. The record is from RefSeq and is a predicted model, not a curated record.